Molecule: RNA transcript, 3595 nt
Organism: Hemicordylus capensis (graceful crag lizard)
Lineage: Eukaryota; Metazoa; Chordata; Lepidosauria; Squamata; Cordylidae
Gene: MARCHF7
Gene name: membrane associated ring-CH-type finger 7
Exons: 13
Source: RefSeq, a predicted model, not a curated record
CCGCGUCAAAAGCGCAAGGGGCGGGAGAGCAAGAGCGUCAGUUGUCAUUGAUGCUGUGCUCUGCUGCUUUCCCGGCAGCCUCUGGGCGAGAUUGUGGCACGCCGACAUCAGAGCGAGGGUGGCAAACAUAAGGGUGGCGCUCUCUUCUCUUUUGCCUCAGCGCUCGGCUCGGUGGCUGGCCGCCAUUGUCAGCUCAGCGAGCGAGCAGCUGGAGGAGGAGGAACAGCAGGAGGAGACGGAGGAGACGAAGACGACGACCACGACAAGCCCCCCCCCACCCCCAGUGGAACGGAGAGCGACGGUGACGGCGGAGCGGGGCCGUGGCAAAGCACAAAAAAUGGAAUCGAAACCCUCAAGAAUUCCACGGAGGGUAUCUACUGCACCAUCCAGUUCUCGAAGUACUAGGACAGGAGCUGGAAGUGGAGGAACCAGUUCUACUGAUUCCUAUUGUACAAGAGAAUCAUCACUGAGACCAGAGUCUGGAUGCCAGGAAUCCAGCUGGUUGCAUAGUUCCAGUAGAGACUGGUCAGUUGGAGAAAGAGAAACCUUUGAAAGCCCAUGGAAGCUUCCAGCUUCCUCCCCAACUCGCUACUCAGGAACACUUGAUCGUCCAUGGUCUGGAAGAUUUUUGGGAAGCAGGAACAGAUUGUCCACAUCAUCAUCUUCACCUCUUACAUCUUCAUGGUUUGAUGAAUCUGAAAGAACUCAGGGAGCAUAUUCUUCAAGGCUGCAUAACCAACAAGAAGAUAGUGAUUCUAAGAGACCUAAACUUUCUUAUACAUCUACCUCUAGUGUGAGAAGUAAUGGUUUAAACACAGUUUCAGAUUCGCCAUGGAGGUAUAGUGAUGUUCCCAGAUCUUCAUCUGUGGUACUUGGAUCAUUGGGAACCGAACUUGUGAGAGAAAGAAGAGAGCUAGAAAGAGCAGACCAGUCUGUUGGCAGUCUUUUGGAUUGUAAUCACAGGAAUGGUGACUUCCCAUCUUCAUCAUAUCUUCAGGAAAGAUCUGCUGCUUCAUAUGCACAGGGAGCAAGACCAAAAGCAAACUCUUUGAGCUCUUUGAGGUUGAACACAUCCAUGAGCCGCCAGCUGCCUUCUGAGCAUCCGUCGUCAUUACUCUCUAGAGACCAUAGCUGGAACUCAAGAUCUAACUAUGUCCCAAGAGAAGUAGAGUCUUCUGAAAGGAAUUUACAGCCAGAGUUUACCCAUGGUGCCAUGAGAAGUGGAACCAGUUCUUCUAGCAGUUCUGAAAGGGUUAUGCCAUCUCAAAGAUCUCUUAGUGAACCUCCUGUAGAUACUGAAGGAAGGCGUACAACAAGGCAGCUGCUUUCUCGUUUAGCUUCUAGUAUGUCCUCCACAUUUUUCUCAAGAAGGUCCAGCCAAGACUCAUUGACUUCAAGACCACUGGGUUCUGAAGGUUCAUUUAUUCCAAGGCCUCAGUCUUCUAUUCAAGCUAAUGCUUCUAACACAGCUACAACUACGGAAGGCUCAGAAGCUCAGACUCCCGAUGCUUCUCAGGGAUUUAGCUUUCUUAGAAGACGGUGGGGCCUGUCGGGUGUUUCACCAAAUUCUGACUCUGAAGCAGAGAGUUACAGACAUGAUUCUGAAAGCAGAAAUACAGGUUCCUGGCUGUCGUCUUCUCUGAGGAACAGAUGUACUCCUUUGUUUUCCAGAAGGAGAAGAGAAGCAGUUUCAUCUCUUCCAAGAACCCCUACCUCUGAACCUCCUGCUAGAUCACUACAUCUUUUUAGGAGAAGAGAAUCUGGUGGAGAAGCAUCUCUUGAAGCACACAGUGAUUCCCUCAGGCCUGCUGCUAGGCCCCCAACACCUGCAGUACCCAAUGGUGCUACAUCUGCUGCCUCAGUGCCAGAUUCAGUGCAUAGUAGAAGGAAUUCGGGAAUAUCAGGACUAUUUCCAAAUUCUCUUUUCCGGAUUGCAGUUCCCCAAAUGGGAAACAACUUGUCUGACAAUGUCAUGAUAACUGUAGAUAUUAUUCCUUCAAGCUGGAAUCAGCCUGAUGGACAAGACAGUGACAAGUCUAAAAUACCACCUUCAAGAGAUCCAGAAAAACUUCAGAAAAUUAAAGAGAGUCUCCUUUCAGAGGACUCUGAAGAAGAGGAGGGAGAUCUGUGUAGAAUAUGUCAGAUGUCGUCUACAUCUGCUACUAAUCUCUUAAUAGAGCCAUGCAAAUGCACUGGAAGUCUGCAGUAUGUUCACCAGGAGUGUAUGAAAAAGUGGUUACAGUCCAAGAUUAACUCGGGUUCUUCAUUGGAAGCAGUAACUACUUGUGAAUUGUGCAAAGAGAAGCUACAUCUCAAUCUUGACAAUUUUGAUAUUCAUGAGCUUCAUAGAGCACAUGCAAAUGAACAAGCAGACUAUGAAUUUAUCAGUUCUGGGCUUUACCUUGUAGUGUUGUUACACUUGUGUGAACAGCGCUUUUCAGAUAUGUUGGGAACUACAAGUGAGGCCAACACGCGUGUCCGGUUUAUUAACCUUGCAAGAACUCUUCAGGCACAUAUGGAUGAUAUUGAAAAGAUGGAAGUUUGGGGCAUUGUGAGUAAGUGAAUGAAUGUGGAAGAAGAGAUCUCAAGGAAUCUAAUCGAACCCCUGUGCUGAGUACAUACCCUGCAAAUGAAAUGCCCCUAGCAAGAUGACUUGUGACAUCCAGAGUGUACUGUGCUAGAGCAGGAGGAAGCAUCUGCUCUAUGGCAGAGGGGCUCAGCAGCUUCAGAUGAUGAUGAUUCUGAAGAUGGUGAUCUUGGUAGAACACUUGACGCUGUGUAAAUGCAAACGGAAGGACUGGAUGCUCAACCGACACAAGUACCGUCUCUAUAUGCAUUUGUUUAGCAAAACACACUGAAUACUGUUAAAUUACUAAAGCGUUGCUGAGUUCAAAAACCUGCUGUUGCACACUGGAAUUUGGAAACCUGAACAUUCAGUCUGCAAGAAAUGUUCUCCUUUGAGAUUAUAACGUGUAUGCCUUCUUCUAAAAUAUCAGAUUUUUAUGUGUAAGGAAGAUGCUUUCCUUUUGUAUAAACUUCUUACAGUAAUCAGUUAAACUUCUGGAAAACUUUUCUCAAGUUUGCUCUUCUUCUACUGGCACUAAGUGGUAAUGUUAAGUGUGUUUGCAAGUCAUGUGGAAUGGAUACUUUGUGCUAGUUUUCCAUUUAAGAACACCUUUGGGAAGUCUCACCAUUUUUUGCUUCCAGUGUUAACACCAUAGGAUGAAUGAAGGAAUGAUUGGGUUCUGUGAAGUUAGUGUUACGUUUCUAGUUUUUCCUUGAGGAAUGUUUAACUCAAAGCAAUAAACUUGCAAGGGGCUACUAAUAAGCGUUAAUUACGGCUUUUAUAAGUAUUGAUUUUGAAACUGCAGAUUAUAUUUGAUAUUAUGUAGAUGUUCCAAUAAGGAAUUACAGCUGUAAACACUUGCAUUUCAGCAUUCCUGGCAGGAAUAAAACUUGUGGUUUAAAAUCUUAACCAAGCUAUUUAUCUUAAUGAACCUUUUUUAGAACCCACAUUCACUGCUGAAGCACUGGUUAUCAAUGUGUUUUCUAGUGUUGUCACCUGUUUGUUAAAUAAAAAUUGCAAUGCAUAUAA